GAGUUUGAUCCUGGCUCAGGAUGAACGCUGGCGGCGUGCCUAAUACAUGCAAGUCGGCGCGGAACGGACGAGAAGCUUGCUUCUCUGAUGUUAGCGGCGGACGGGUGAGUAACACGUGGAUAACCUACCUAUAAGACUGGGAUAACUUCGGGAAACCGGAGCUAAUACCGGAUAAUAUUUUGAACCGCAUGGUUCAAAAGUGAAAGACGGUCUUGCUGUCACUUAUAGAUGGAUCCGCGCUGCAUUAGCUAGUUGGUAAGGUAACGGCUUACCAAGGCAACGAUGCAUAGCCGACCUGAGAGGGUGAUCGGCCACACUGGAACUGAGACACGGUCCAGACUCCUACGGGAGGCAGCAGUAGGGAAUCUUCCGCAAUGGGCGAAAGCCUGACGGAGCAACGCCGCGUGAGUGAUGAAGGUCUUCGGAUCGUAAAACUCUGUUAUUAGGGAAGAACAUAUGUGUAAGUAACUGUGCACAUCUUGACGGUACCUAAUCAGAAAGCCACGGCUAACUACGUCG
This 519-nucleotide ribosomal RNA is filed under the name uncultured microorganism. RNAcentral's name for it is "bacterial SSU rRNA". It matches the Rfam family "Bacterial small subunit ribosomal RNA", at positions 9 to 508 of the family's 1533-position model. The record is from RNAcentral.